This 433-nucleotide ribosomal RNA is filed under the name uncultured bacterium. RNAcentral's name for it is "partial 16S ribosomal RNA". It matches the Rfam family "Bacterial small subunit ribosomal RNA", at positions 29 to 507 of the family's 1533-position model. The record is from RNAcentral.
AGCGAACGCUGGCGGCAGGCCUAACACAUGCAAGUCGAACGAACUCUUCGGAGUUAGUGGCGGACGGGUGAGUAACACGUGGGAACGUGCCUUUAGGUUCGGAAUAACUCAGGGAAACUUGUGCUAAUACCGAAUGUGCUCUUCGGGGGAAAGAUUUAUCGCCUUUAGAGCGGCCCGCGUCUGAUUAGCCAGUUGGUGAGGUAAAGGCUCACCAAGGAGACGAUCAGUAGCUGGUCGGAGAGGAUGAUCAGCCACAUUGGGACUGAGACACGGCCCAAACUCCUACGGGAGGGAGCAGUGGGGAAUCUUGCGCAAUGGGCGAAAGCCUGACGCAGCCAUGCCGCGUGAAUGAUGAAGGUCUUAGGAUUGUAAAAUUCUUUCAGCGGGGACGAUAAUGACGGUACCCGGAGAAGAAGCCCCGGCUAACUUCGUG